GCCUGGGUGGCUCAGUUGGUUAAGCAUCUGACUUCUGGCUCAGGUCAUGAUCUCAUGGCUUGUGGGUUCGAGCCCCGCAUCAGGCU
This 86-nucleotide transfer RNA is filed under the name Felis catus (domestic cat). It matches the Rfam family "tRNA". From Rfam's summary of the family: Transfer RNA (tRNA) molecules are approximately 80 nucleotides in length. Their secondary structure includes four short double-helical elements and three loops (D, anti-codon, and T loops). Further hydrogen bonds mediate the characteristic L-shaped molecular structure. tRNAs have two regions of fundamental functional importance: the anti-codon, which is responsible for specific mRNA codon recognition, and the 3' end, to which the tRNAs corresponding amino acid is attached (by aminoacyl-tRNA synthetases). tRNAs cope with the degeneracy of the genetic code in two manners: having more than one tRNA (with a specific anti-codon) for a particular amino acid; and 'wobble' base-pairing, i.e. permitting non-standard base-pairing at the 3rd anti-codon position. The record is from Rfam by way of RNAcentral. Lineage: Eukaryota; Metazoa; Chordata; Mammalia; Carnivora; Felidae.